This 468-nucleotide ribosomal RNA is filed under the name uncultured bacterium. RNAcentral describes it as "partial 16S ribosomal RNA". It matches the Rfam family "Bacterial small subunit ribosomal RNA", at positions 28 to 507 of the family's 1533-position model. The record is from RNAcentral.
GACGAACGCUGGCGGCGUGCUUAACACAUGCAAGUCGAACGGAAAGGCCCUGCUUUUGUGGGGUGCUCGAGUGGCGAACGGGUGAGUAACACGUGAGUAACCUGCCCUUGACUUUGGGAUAACUUCAGGAAACUGGGGCUAAUACCGGAUAGGAGCUCCUGCUGCAUGGUGGGGGUUGGAAAGUUUCGGCGGUUGGGGAUGGACUCGCGGCUUAUCAGCUUGUUGGUGGGGUAGUGGCUUACCAAGGCUUUGACGGGUAGCCGGCCUGAGAGGGUGACCGGCCACCUUGGGACUGAGAUACGGCCCAGACUCCUACGGGAGGCAGCAGUGGGGAAUAUUGCACAAUGGGCGGAAGCCUGAUGCCGCAACGCCGCGUGCGGGAUGACGGCCUUCGGGUUGUAAACCGCUUUCGCCUGUGACGAAGCGUGAGUGACGGUAAUGGGUAAAGAAGCACCGGCUAACUACGUG